CAAAUUAUUUGCAUUCACGUCAUUGCAAUUUUUCCCGCCCAAAGACAUUAGAUGAAAACAAACCACUUGACUGCCAUACGUCAUAACAUCAACACCUUAGUAUAUUUGAUACUUCACGUAAUACAAUAGUAAAUAAACACUAGUCGUAUUACCAAUGUAAAAAAAAAACCAAAAAGCAAUGGACACCCCGAAAACAGCUAACAUUUUUCAUUCGACGUUUCGACUAUCUUGCAGUCAUCACCAGGAAUGACGCUACGGAAAAAUGUACAUGUUAUAUAUACAAGAUCAAAUGACAUAUGAUAUGAUAUGAUAUGCUAAGUUAACUAAAGAUUACGAGUUCAUUUGAGGCUUUAAAUUUGCAUCCAUGGUUAAGUUCCGGUUUCUGACGGUGAAUGUAGAGAGACUCUUUGAAAAGUAAUAAGGACCAAUGUCUAGAUUUAUCUAAAAUUCUACAGUUGUUAAGGAUAAUU
Non-coding RNA from Paramuricea clavata, 470 nucleotides. Lineage: Eukaryota; Metazoa; Cnidaria; Anthozoa; Malacalcyonacea; Plexauridae. The record is from the annotation of a GenBank genome assembly.